CCUACGGGUGGCUGCAGUGGGGAAUAUUGGACAAUGGGGGCAACCCUGAUCCAGCCAUGCCGCGUGUGUGAAGAAGGCCCUCGGGUUGUAAAGCACUUUCAGUGAGGAAGAACGCCUGGUGGUUAAUACCCAUCAGGAAAGACAUCACUCACAGAAGAAGCACCGGCUAACUCCGUGCCAACAGCCGCGGUAAUACGGAGGGUGCGAGCGUUAAUCGGAAUUACUGGGCGUAAAGCGCGCGUAGGUGGCUUGAUAAGCCGGUUGUGAAAGCCCCGGGCUCAACCUGGGAACGGCAUCCGGAACUGUCAAGCUAGAGUGCAGGAGAGGAAGGUAGAAUUCCCGGUGUAGCGGUGAAAUGCGUAGAGAUCGGGAGGAAUACCAGUGGCGAAGGCGGCCUUCUGGACUGACACUGACACUGAGGUGCGAAAGCGUGGGUAGCAAACAGGAUUAGAUACCCUAGUAGUC
Molecule: ribosomal RNA, 465 nt
Filed under: Vreelandella stevensii
Lineage: Bacteria; Pseudomonadati; Pseudomonadota; Gammaproteobacteria; Oceanospirillales; Halomonadaceae
Description: partial 16S ribosomal RNA
Rfam family: Bacterial small subunit ribosomal RNA
Source: RNAcentral